Long non-coding RNA from Saccostrea echinata, 2792 nucleotides. RefSeq lists it as uncharacterized. The record is from RefSeq and is a predicted model, not a curated record. The transcript has 11 exons. NCBI's taxonomy places the organism in Eukaryota, Metazoa, Mollusca, Bivalvia, Ostreida, Ostreidae.
GUGCUGGUUACCGGAAGUUCACAAGAACCAGUUAAGCGAAGGUAACACCCUACAACAUGAACAUGAACUGAUCACUGAGACUGCAUUGCGUAUGAAAGACAGUUUUAUUUACUAGCCCGACAGGCUAAUGCAGUAUAGAUUUAUGAUAGCCCAACCUCUAAAAUUGGUAGCCCUGAGCGUUGGGCAAUGGUAAUUGCACACCCCUGCCGGGGGCAGGGCGGGUCACAAUGGGAGAUCAAAGUUUUACAUGGGAAUACAUUGGAAAAAUCUUCUCCAGAACCACUGGGCCAAGAAAGAUGAAACUGAUGUAGAAACAUCUUCAGAGAAGACGAAUGUCACCUUCGUCAGAAGCAGAUUUUUACUGCCAGGCUGGCUUUGACCAGAAAGGUUUUGAGAUCAAAUUUAUAUCAGACUAUAAAAACAUCCAAAUGGCUAGCUCAGAUGUGGAAGUGGAAUCGGACCCUUUUAGUUGGGAAUUCAAUGGAAAUUCAUUUGACAGUGAUGAUGAUGAUGAGAUUAAUUCAGCUUGUUGUGAUCCUCCUGGACAUCCAAGUGUUUUCGACAUUGAUGAAGAUUUUGUCAAUCUCUCUCUUGGACCAAACCAAGAAAUGAUGGUUUUAAGAAGAUUAUAGGAUAUGUCAUAGAAUACGAAGACCCCACCACUUGAGGCAGGCUAAUGACUACCCAGUAGAUGAGUGUGUUUAUGAGGUGAAGGGAUUAAAAAAGGACAAGGAAUACAACUUCCACAUACAGGCCAAGAAUCUUGAAGGUUUUCAAAUUAGUGAGUCUAGUGAUGUGAUUGGUCCCAUAACUCCCAAGCCCAAAUACACCAAGGUUUUGCCACCUGGUGUACCAGAGGCUGUCAACAAUUCUCUAACUUUUUCUGAAAUGGGAACCACCUAAACAUAAUGGUGGCUGUAAAAUUACAGACUACCUUGUAGAAGAGAGGUUUAAGGGAACAGAGAAAUGAGUACCCCUGCACUGACCCCUCUUUACUGUCACCGAUCUUCCUCAGGACUCAGAGUGGGAGUUUAGAGUUACAGCUGAUAACUUUGCUGGAAACUGUGAGCCCAGUCUGUGCUCACCAGCAUACAAAAUCCAGGAGAAGAUUGAGUCUUUUGCAAUUGGGCAGGAUGAGGAAUCACACCAAUCAUUUGUAAAUGAAAGCAGCAGUCAUGAUGUUGUCAAUGAGAAUGAAUUUUAAAUAGGACAUGAUACAGGGCCACUUUUAAGUGAUGAAGCAGACGAGUAUGAUGAUGGUUAUGAUGAUGAAUCAUACCAUCCUUCAAGCGAUGAAAAAAGCUGUGAUGAAGAUACCAUUAAUGAUCUUGAUAUGCCCAGUAAGCCUCUCAAAUCUGAAAUGCAGCAGAAACAAGCUGCACUUGCAAGUGACAGCGAAAAGGACAGUGAAUGUGAAGAUGAUCAUGAUGAUGUCGGCAAAGUUUUACCACAGUCAGAGAAGCAAAAGACCAGGUUUUUAGAGGCCAAAAACAUCGUCUGGAAACUAUGAUAAUAAAAAACAUUCAUGUCUCUUUUGUGAGAAGUUUUGCCAGCAGGCAGUUGAUAGUAUGCAUAUCAUAUAAGCCCAUAGCUCUUUAAGUACAAAAAAUUGUGAGAUUCAUUUUUGCAUAUAGGUUCAGGAUGGAGCUGAAUAUUGAAAAAAUAUAUCCUAUAAAUUUUUUUUUCAUGGACAUGUAGCAGACAGCUGUUUGCAUAAUUUAAGCAAGUAAUUAUUUUUUAACCAAAAUUUGUGAAAUUUAUCGCUCAUGACCCAUUGUUCAUGCAAGGUUUACCUAUUUAUAUUGACACUGCAACAGGCCCAUAGAACCCCCCCCCCCCCCACUUUUUCUGAGUAUAGUAUUUUGCUAUAGUAAAGUAUCCUUUAUAUCCUGGUUGCUCCUCCCCCCCCUUUUUGUUGCAAUAAGGUCAGUUCAGUAAAUAAUGUUUUUUUUUUGCUUGUCAGAUAUUUUUUGAAGUCCCCCCUACUUUUGAAACCCUUGCUAUGGGCUGUAAAUUGAAGUUUUAAAAAAUCCUUUACUGGUGAACAUCUAGCAGGCAAACUAGCAGGCAUAAAAUUAAAUAUGAAGAUUAUGAAUAGUAAUCAAACUCAAAAGUCCAUUAGAAUAAUCCAUAUUCGUAGCAAAGCAAACAUGGACCUCUAAAAUUAAUCUUAAUUAAUGCUUAGCCCUCUAAUUGAAGGCUUCUUCAUGUUUCAGGCCCAUGAAAAGGCAGAGUUAGUCAUAAAUUAGAAUGUUUUAUACAGUAUUAGCCAGUAUACCUUAUCAUCUUUACUUUUGAACUUCUAGGAGUUCAGCUGCAUCAAUAUGAUAAUAAAUAUAGAAUUCUUGUGAAAAUUUACGAUUUUUGUUGCAUGGGUCUAGAUUUCUAGAUCCAGGCGGUUUUGAAAUGACCACAGCCUGAGAAAUUCAUAAUACUCAGGUAAUAGUCAUAGCCUAGGGCCUUUUGUUGCAUUUUAAACACAGGAAGUUAUUAACUGCGUGAUAUUUAUAUUUCUUGCUUGGUUUUCAGCUUUAAGCUUAAAGAGUUUUUUUUAUUUCAAAACUUGUAUGUUGUUUAAUGCACUAAGAAAAUGCCACUAUAUUUUGCACAAAUACUGACUGAUUGUCCUUGGUUGUUCUGUGAAAAUAAACUUAUUUUGGAUACCUUAAAAAUUAACAGCAAGAAUUAUCUAUUAACACUUGGCUUAUACAUGUGUAUCUUAUUUCAUGUCAGCAUUCUUUUUAUGUACUUUUUUGUAUAGUUGAUGCAAUUAAAUUGUUUCAUGCAAACAA